CUUCUCCCUCUUCUUCCUCUCUUCUUCUCCCCACGCUCCACCGCUCCUCUCUCUGUUCGAGAAACAAACCCACGCCCCACCGCUUCUCCUCUGUUCGAGAAACAGAGAGCGUGGGAGGCGGUGGGAUAAAACCGAAUUUUCGGUUUUUCCUUUAUCUUUUUUUUUUCUUUUUGCAACUUAACAGUUUAGUCCUUGAAAUUUCCAUAUUUACAUAUAGGUCCCCCGAUUUAUAAAUAAAUCUUUAUUAAUAAUUUUCAAAAGUGAGGGAUAUUAC
This 274-nucleotide long non-coding RNA is filed under the name Musa acuminata (dwarf banana). RNAcentral's name for it is "long non-coding RNA (MACU_LNC010657)". Lineage: Eukaryota; Viridiplantae; Streptophyta; Magnoliopsida; Zingiberales; Musaceae. The record is from RNAcentral.